UACGGAGGGGGUUAGCGUUGUUCGGAAUUACUGGGCGUAAAGCGUACGUAGGCGGAUUAGUAAGUUGGGGGUGAAAUCCCGGGGCUCAACCCCGGAACUGCCUCCAAAACUACUAGUCUUGAGAUCGUGAGAGGUGAGUGGAAUUCCGAGUGUAGAGGUGAAAUUCGUAGAUAUUCGGAGGAACAUCAGUGGCGAAGGCGGCCUCCUGGACUAACACUGACGCUGAGGUACGAAAGCGUGGGGAUCAAACAGG
RNAcentral lists this ribosomal RNA (253 nucleotides) under uncultured bacterium. Its description in RNAcentral is "partial 16S ribosomal RNA". It matches the Rfam family "Bacterial small subunit ribosomal RNA", at positions 524 to 776 of the family's 1533-position model. The record is from RNAcentral.